GCAACCACAUACAAACAUAAAGAAGCUUGAAAUCACACGAUAUAGUGGCAGAAAAUUUCCAAUAUGGUUAGGGGACCCAUCAUUCUCUAACAUGGUUGCUUUAAAAUUGAUAGGAUGUGAAAAUUGCACAUCCUUACCUGCGGUGGGGAUGUUGGUUUCCCUGAAAGAGCUUACAAUUCAACGAAUGCUUGUACUCAGAAGUAUAGGGUCUGAAAUUUGUGGAAACGAUUGCUCAACGCCUUUUCAAUCCUUAGAGACUCUUUUUUUCAGUGAUUUACCGGAAUGGGAGUUCUGGGAUACCGGCAACCAGACUGGGUAUGUUGAAAUAUUCCCUCGCCUCGUUGAACUGUCCAUUUUUGGAUGCCCCAAACUAUCUGGAAAAUUACCUGACCAUCUUCCUGCAUUAGAGACCCUUGUUGUCAGCAAUUGCGAAGAGUUGGUGGUUUCAUUCUCAAGCUUUCCUUUUGCUCUGCAAGUUGGAAAUUUAUAGAUGCAAAGGACUGGUUUGCAGCUCUCCGAUUGACUCUAAGUUGACAAAGUGUAUGGCUAUUUCAAGCUGUUCAUUAGACAUAUACGGAUGCAAAGGGAUGGUAUACAAUAGUCCACUUCUCUUUAAAUCACUGUCGACGCCUGUGACUAUUUCAAAUAUUUUAGAGUUUGGAAAAUUGUUAAAAGGAUUUCUGCCAGCAGAGUUUCUGGGGAUUAGCGAUUCUCAAGAUAUUCAGUUAUUGAGGCCGCAGUUUAAGGAUAUGCAAUUUAGGGAGGAGGCAGUACAAGGGCUAUGGAUUAUCGUGCCCCCUGAAGAGGUAUCAACUGAAGAAAAUUGCAUGAGUCUGGUUUCAUUUCCAGAGGUAAAAUUUUUCCCGAUCAAUCAGCUUGAUCUUGAAAUUGAAAAUAGUGGAGCUUUAAAAUCCUCACUUGAAGGAAUUAUGUACAACUGUGCACAACUGAAAAGUUCGAACAUUAAAGGUUGUGAUUCUCUAGAAUUCAUUGCAAGAGGCAAGCUGCCUUCGUCUUUAGAAUGGCUUCAAAUACUUGAUUGUAAGAAAUUGCGGUGUUUGAUAGUUGAUGAAGAGGAUGCUUCUGUUGCUUCUUCCUCAUUAUCUUCUUUAUCAUUGGCUCUCAAGUGGCUUUAUAUUAGCGGCUGCUCAGAGCUCACCCAUUUACCAUCAAGAACUACGUCAUUGCCGAAAGAGCUUGAAUUUCUAAACAUUAGGGAUUGUCCAAAAUUUGAGUCCAUAGCUGAGAGCUUUCAUGGUAACGGACGUCUUAAACGGAUAGUCAUCUCCGAUUGUGGAAAUCUAAAAUCCAUGCCGAAGGGCCUACAGAAUCUUAGUUGUCUUGAGUCAGUCAAAAUCGUGAGCUGUCCAAGUCUUGUUUCUUUUCCAGAAGGAGGGCUUCCCAGCACUGUUACGAUUGUUUUUAUUGACGGUUGUGAAAAGCUUAAAGCCCUACCUGAAGACAUGCACAGGUUCAGCUACCUUCAAAUUUUAAGAAUCAGGGAAUGUCCAAGUAUUGUAUCAUUUCCUGAAGCAGGUUUUCCUACCAACCUAACAUCACCUGUAAUUACUGAUAUAAAAAUGUACAAGGCAAUUAUCCAAUGGAGCUUGCACAGGCUUACAUCUCUUCUACGCCUUUACAUAAAUGAGGGUGAUAAUGCUGAGUCUUUUCCAGGUGAGAGGAUGGGAAUAAUAUUGCCCACCUCUAUAACUGCAUUGAGGAUUUCUGGAUUCCCAAAUCUGAAAUGCCUAUCUGCAAUGGGUUUUCAAAGCCUGGCCUCACUCGAAUCUCUGAGUAUAUCAAAUUGCCCGAAGCUCAAAUCCUUUCCUGAGGUGGGCCCGCCAUCCUCCCUUUUGGUACUACAAAUUCAAGAUUGUUCUUUGCUGAAAAAACAUUGCAAAAGGGAUAAAGGAAAAGACUGGUCCAAGAUUGCUCACAUCCCUUGUAUUAUGAUAGAUGGCAAAUUCAUCUUCGAUUAAGAAGAGAAAGAAUGAGCUCUGUUUAAUAUCAGAAGGAAGAAUUCAGGUAUGCCAAUUCCUAUUAUUACGAUUACUAAAAACACGUUGUUAAAUUAUAACACAAAUUUUUAUUUUCAAUUUCAAUAUCAAUCCUCUGCCUUCAACUGCAAAUGGCACUAGAAUAUUUUCAUUUUUACUUUUUCAGAUACUAUGAUGAGGCAGUUUGACUUGAUGAUGCUGACAGUUUUUUAUAGUAAUGGACAAAUGGUUGGUACGUUUUCUGUUGAUUAUUUACAGUGUAGUUCAGUUGACUUUAGUACUAUGUAUCUGAAAAUUUUCAGUGAUUUAAUACUUGUUUUCAUUUUAACUCAUCAGAUUUAAUGCGGUCCCAACAAGUUACUCACACACUGGUGCUUUUUUAAGGUAAUCAGUACAUUUUCAGCUGCGUUAACUCGAAUAACUUGUAUCUGAAAUAUUGCUGUCGUAAUUUCUUUUCAAUUUAUAGUUUAGAUCAUAGUCUGGCAUGUAGUUUCAAUGGCGAAUAUUUUUUUUUUUUACAUGUUAUUAUUUUUUCAGAGCAACUCAAUUAGACAGUUCCAAUCCAGAAAUUUUUUAAUGUAUUUUAGUGCAAUCGUAGUUGUCAAGUGAAAUUUUCAUAUUAUGAUGAUCUCGAUGCUAACUACAUUUCCAACUCUUUUAAGUUUUUUGAACUCUAGCGGGUGAAAGUCAAUGGAAAGAAGUUUCUGAACUUUUCCAAUGAUCAAUGCAAUUUGCUUCUAAGGAUAUAACACGGGUCUUCACUUAUUUCAAGUUGCAGAUAUGAUUCUAUCUUUCUUCUGCUGUAAUUUCAGAGGGCAAGGUUGCUCAUAUUCCUUGAGUUGACGUGGAAGAAAGCAUAAGGAAAGCUCUGAGACAAUCCACAUCAAAAUCUUCACCCACUUUUUCACAGUUUGGAAUCGACUACACUGCCUUCAAAAUGACUUUCAAAUGAAAGGGCAGAAAGUUAAUCAUACAGGGUUCCAAAGUCGGUUAAAAGUUAGUUUUAAAGCUUCUGAUUUUUUUCUGAAUAGGCUGACUAGUUAAUAAGCCAAUAAAAUGUGCCAAGAAAUAUCCCUCUGUGGUGGAUCAUCACUUUGCUUGAUUCUUGCUUUGAUUUAGUCUCAGUAAUCUUGUAAUUGCCAUUAUUAAGCUAGUGAAUAUAGAACAAUGGCUGCUUUUGCACCCAUGGAUGUAGGUCAAUUUGACCGAACCAUGUAAAUCUGUGUCUUUGCUCUUUGUGCCUCUCAUUUAAUUUGUGUUUGCUGAGAUUGAUUGCUUUUGUGCAGUUUAAUUCUUGGUAAAAGCUCAGCUUAAUAAUCUCUAUAGAUUGGAUCGAUCUCAAUUCAUUGGGAUUGAGUUUUAGUCAUUUCUGGGGCGAGAGAAAUUGACUCGCACAUGUAUCAUGGCAACGUUUGUUUUAUUUGGAUAUUAUUUGUUUUUAUACAGGCUUUUAGUUUAUUUCAGGUUGUCUGAGUAAAAUUUUAUCACACAUGCGAUUACUUGGAAAAUUCUAACGCCAGUGUAUGUUAAAAAUGAAAUUGGGUCAUGUAGGUACCCUCUGUCAAGAUCAAGUGCUAGCUGGACAACCACUUUGAAAACUAGUCUCCUUCUCCUGCUGUAAGUUUCAUUUCCUUUUAGAUUUUACCGCAUGAGUUCAGCUUAAUUUCUUCAAAUCACUCCGAUUUAAGACCAAAUAGACUCUGGAAUAAUGGCUUAAGUAAUAUAUAAUAGAGAUGAUUAGGGGAUGGGCAAGGAUACUUGGUAAUAUGAAGGGACAAUUUGGAUGUGUUCGCAAAAAUGAAAACACAGUAUCCCCUGUAAUAUUGGAUGCGAUUGAUGACUGAAUGGUCAAUCUAACCUUUUUUUCCAUAACAUUUUAAAGCACCCAACUACUUUCAGAUCCAUCUGCCAUCUAUAUUGAGUAUAUUCUAAUUAUAAAUCUAUCGUUGUUUGUCCUUAGAAAGCAAAAUACAUACAAAACUGUAUUUAAUACUCUAUUUCAAAAGCCACCACCAAAAAAAAAAAAAAUUAAAUAAAUAAAUAAAUAAAUAAAAUCAAAAUGUAUUUAUUAAAUUAAAUAAUUUGCAAAAACUACGAAUCUCAAAAGUCUGUCUACUUAUAGACUAAAGUUAUUUAUUAAUCAUGGUUAAUAUGAGAUGUGUGUAACACAAAACAAUUUUUAGCUUUACCGUUAAGCCAUAAUAUCGUUUUUUUUUUUAUAAGCAUUAAUUAAUCUAAUUUCUCCUUAACUAAUGAUUGUAUUAUGCGUAUGGUGUUACUCUCAUCAUCAUUUAACUUUUCAACCAGGUGGUUGUGGUUGGAGAUUAAUUAAUGCUUCAACAUAUUACAAUUCAGAGAGAAUGACAAUUCCAUCCCUCUUUAUUUUUAUUUUUAUUUUUAUUUUUUGGGGCAUCACUUAGGUUUCUUGUAGACUUUUAGUACCUCAUUUUAUCAUUGACUAAAAAAUGUUAAGUAAAAAAGUACGCGGUUGGAGGUAAAAAAUACAGUUGGUUUAUUGAUAUACAAACUAAUAUUACAUAAAAUCUGACAUAAAAACAUAUUAAAACUAGACCAAUUAAUGAGGUCAUUUUAUGCCGACGCGUACGUGACGCAAUCGUGCAAAUACGAAAAAAAUGUACUGAAUAUUGAUGAGCCAUGGUCCAAAACAAUAACUGGACCAGUUGAUGAGGCUGGCUUAUUAUCUACAAACAAGGUAGUCAAUCUAGGCUUCAGCAGUUAGUAUCCCAAUCCAAAUCAAGUGCGCAGCCCUAAAACAAAGAGUGGACUUUCUAACACCCCGUGAAAAUUCUUACGAAACCCUCUUUUUUUUAAUUAUUAUUAUUUUUUAUAUAUUAAAUCAUUUGGUAUUUAAAAAUUGCAUUAGGUCUCGACUGAUCCAAAUUCGAGCCAGAUAUGACUACUAAGUCAGUAAAACUCUUCCAAUAAAUAUUUAAUACAGCUGCAUCCUAAGUUUCGAACCGAGAACCUUUAUUAAGUUAAAAUAGUCCUUCCCAAUUGAUUUACGCGCUUGUUGAUUUUUUUCAAUUAUUAUUAUUCUUAUUUUAAUACCAAAAAUAUCCUUUUCCUGCUAAAUUCCUAUUACAUUUUUUUUUAGUUUAUUCCAAUUUAACUAUUUUAAAUGAGACCGAGACGAUGAGUUUGCAAAACUAUGUAAAGUUAGGUGGAGCUGCUUGAUGGUUCCUCCAAUCACGAUCAUGAUGGUAAAUGUUGAACUUGGAAAAACAUAAGCCGCUAAACUCAAUAAGUAUUUGCAAAAGAUAGUACAUCAGGUAGUUUUAAAGAAAUUUUUUUUUUCUUCAGUUUUCUCACCCGUAAAACAAAUCAAUGUCUUAUUUUUGGUCUUUUGGAUAGAUGAGUCACAAACAAAAACAAAAAGGAAAAGGGCAAAAAACAGGACUUCUUGAUUUUUCAAAUUUCGGGGAGCGAGAGAGAAGCGGUCGAAGAGUUCGCAGAGAAAAUAAAAAUAUCCUGCGUGUGUUAUAAUUAAAAAUAGCGGGCUGCUAAUAGCUGUACUGGAAGGCAAAAAUAUCGUCGCUCAAGCCCAUUCAAAUUCGGCCUAUGUCUAAAGAAUGAGAGAAGACUUUACUUCUCAAGCUGACUUGGGGGUACCGGGCCAGGCUGGUUUCGUUUGCUUUUUAUUUUCCCUCACUAAUACAAUUUACCAAUUCAAAAAUAUAUGCGCAAAGUUUUCACUGCGUGUUUUCAUUUGUCGAAAUUAUGGUUGUUGAUUUACUUCUAAAUAUGUAACGCAUUACGAGCGUAAACUAUCGAAAUCGUACCAUUAUUAUAAAUCUGUUCUAAUCUAUGAGGCUUUUAAUUGAAAAUAUAAUAGAUUAUAUUGUAAUUCAAAAUAAAAAUGUAUAAAUGUCAAAUAAUAAGUUAACAUACGAGUGCAGUCUCACACAAAUUUUGUCGGUGAACGCAUUGCCAACUUGGAAAAUCUACUCAACUAACACUUCCUUCUCUUUACUGUUGCAUUGACUUUAGAAAGUUAAUUUUAGGAGUCUUGUUACAAUGCACCAGCUGCACCAUCUAACAAGUUUUACAUUGUCCUUAACAAAGUAUUCAUUCAUAAUCGCUGAUUCGCUAUAUUAUUUUUAUACAUAACAUGUUUUUGUAAUACAUAUAGUAAAUUAUUUAUACAACGAAAAAGUUAUUAUCAAUUAAAAAAAAAAAUUGUGGAUGUACGGCGCAACAUGCUGCACCAUAAUCACACCCUAAAUUAUUAAAAUAAUAAAUAAAUUAAAAGAUAAAUAAAACGUACAUUUUAAAUAAUAUAUUUUAUUUUUAAUAUAUUAAAAUAUAUAUUUUAUAUACCUUUUAACUUAUUUCUUAUUUUAAUAAUUUAAAGAAUCUUUCAUUCAAAAUUUAUUCUCUACAUAUAUUAAGUUGGCCCAUUUUGAUGACAUAAUAUUUACAUGCAUGAACUUGAUCUUACAUGCAUGAACUUGAUCACUAACACAUAUAUUACAUGAGUCGCACCUGAUGAAAAUUCCGUAUGAAAUAUAUUCAAGUGAUCCAGAUCGAUAGAUAAAUUAAUUGUACCAUGUUACAGUUACAAUUGGAAAAUAAUAGAUGGUACAUCUUCCUUUUAUGUGGCAAAAUAAUAUAUAUAGUACAUUUUUCCUUUUACGUGGCCCUCAUGACGUCAAGGUAUAAAUCAUCAUAUCACAGUGAUUUAAUGUGGACAUCUAAUGGACCGCCAAUAUUCAACAUCUGAAAGUUAAAUCAAUUUUUGUCUUUUAACAAUUGUUUAUCAACAAUUUAUGGUCCUAAUUUUAACAUAAUGUGAACGUUCAAAGAAGACAAAAUACUUGAGAAUUUAGCAACCUAUUCUUCCACGUGAGGAGUCAAGUUCCCCCUCCAUUGCCUUUGCAUUUAUUUUUCAGUAAUAUCACUUUUUACGUUAUAUAUGAAAUUUUUAAAAGUAGAUUUAGUAUUCAGAUUGUGUAUAGGUAUCUAGAGUGCCAACGAACUAUAUAAGCUCGGGAUAAAGGAACUUUUUUUAUUCUAAGCUCUCUAGCUUUUAACGGUCUUAUUCUACAUUUUAAUCGUAUAAUAAUAUUGUAUAAUUGAGAUUUAACUGUUAUUAUUAUAUUUUAACUUACUAACCACGAAUUAUUUACGUAAAAGUUACUAAAAAAGAACUCAUAUUAGGAGGGAAUAUGGUCAGUAAGUAACCAAAGUAUGCCACAACAAAAAAUGAUUUAGAUAUGCUAACGGUAAAUCUUAACUAGUGCUUGUACUACUUAUACAUGUAGGUUUGUACUACCAAUGGUGAAGCCAGAAGCGUCCAGUUUGAGCAAGUAUUACCUUAUUAAGUUAAUUUUUCCCAAAAAUUCAAUCCAGAAAGUAUGAGAAAUGACAAGCACCAUGGUUCAAUUUUCCCCUCAAAAAGAAACAAGCAAGAAAAGAAAAAGCACACACGCUAUACUUUUGAUGGAAGUUAUGAAAUGCACUUUUAGUUCAACUUCCUCGGUGCUUUAAAGCUCUUUGGGAGCUGCUGUUGAAGUGUACUCGGCAAAGGUUAGCCUGGGUCCAUUUGUUCUCAUUUGCAGGUCAGAUCUAAAAUUGGGUCAGCAAGAUAAUUGCAUAAUUGAACCCAAUGCAACCACCAUAAUUGUUUUAGAAAGACUGAUAUGCGUUUGUAAUUGGUUUUGGUAUAUCACCUUUGUUUGUAUUUCACCAUCAAUGAGACAGCUUUUUUUUUUAAGUAUAGUGAAUGAACAGAGAAAUUUGUCGGCAAGCUUAUCCCAACUCCUUGAUUGCUAGUUUAAGUGUCUAUUCACAUCAACGAGCCAAGUUGAUUCAUCUCAUUACCGGUAUUUAAGGUCAAUUUUUUUAACUUAAAUCUAAUAUGUUAUUAUACAACUUAAACGAUAAUUCCAAGUUUUUUUAAACUUUUUACUUUUGUAUGAUCAAAUAAAAAUCAGUUAGGUUGCAGUAGCCGACACAAGAUAACUAAAAACCGAACAAAUUCCAUGAAAAGUUCAUAAAAAAGUCUUUAAAAAUAAUUGCUUUGUACUAUGAAAAUAAAAAAAGAAAAGUGCUUCCCGCACAUUUUGAUGUGCUAUGAAAUAUCACAUAUACUUAAUUUUUUGUCUCAACUAGGGUUGGUAAUUUAUCGGGUCAGGCCGAGCCUGAACCCGACCCUAUAACACAACUAAAGGGCCCUAACCCUACAAAAAAAAAUCUUAUUGUUUCACUUUCGGGUCGGGUCAGGGUCUGGCAUGACCCGUCGGACUCUAAAAAAGUCCGAACCCUACUAAUUUUUAAAUAACCAACUUUGAUAUCGUAAAUUUAGAUUUAUAUAAACAAAUGCAAAUGUACAACCUAUCUUAUUCUAACUAUUAAAAGUAAUGCUUUCCAUGAUUUUCAUAAGCAAUAAGAAAUUUGUAGUGUUUUGAUUGCCUCAAAAAAUCCCAACUAAUCAAACACUGCCCAAGAUCUUUGUCAAGAUAAAUUCAAGUUGCAUAUGAAUCAAAUGACCAACCUUGAUGACUCAAUGAUUAACAAGAACCUAGUAAACGAAUUUUAGAGACCAGAAACACAAGUAUCAAGCUAAAUUAGCAACCAAAACACACAGAAAAGAAUACUGAUUUUACGUGGUUCAAUUGUGCAAAGAAGCACAAUCUACCAGAAUGAGUUUUUACUGAUGAUUCAAGUUUAAUUUAUAAAGCUUUUACAGAAUAGAUGACAAGGAACGGGAUGUCUCUCUCUCUCUUUCUCGUAUAUCUCUCUAGAACGCUCUUAAUUCCUCACUGAAACUGCCUCAACAAUCAGCUUUGUAUAACAGCCGAUAACAAACCGGAUUGCACCAGUUUCUGCCACGUGGAUAACGGCCUGCAACAAUCUUGAUUCCCCCUCACAUGCUUAAUCACGUGCAUGACUUAAGUCUGAGCCAAAACGUCUUCAUGUCUUGCCGGUUAUUAGGUGAGUCACACGUCCAUCACGUGACAGCUUGAAACAAAUUGAUAGGCAAAACGAUGCCGUUUCACAUGUCCAAGUUUUAAAUUCAGCAAAUUAGUCCACAAAAUUAAAGUUAUUUAUUUUAUUUUUAUCCAAGGACAACUCUUUGCUCAAACCAAAAACUCUUGAUCUUGAACAUCUUUAUAAUCACAGAGAGCCCCCUGAAGCUUGGCUGCUCAUCAGCCUCGCUUGGAUUCAACCACUCGAGAGGACACCAACAUCAGUUUUUGCAUCUGAUGCUCUGCCAAUAUUUCCCUCGUCAAUCCCUCCGCAUUGCAAGCAUAAAACAUUAAAGAAAACACUGAUAAUAAAAAAUUAAGUGACAAUUCAAAAUGUUAUACAGUUCAUGUUAAUUAUUAAACUCUAACAAGACAAGAAAGAAAUUAAGAACAUUAAUUGUGAAAAAAAGUGAAAUAUUGAUUCAAAAUUAUAGAUCUUAAUGUAUGAAGCUAUAAAGGAAACGCCCAGAGGAUCUGUUUUGUGAUGAAAAUUUAAAAUUUAUGUUUUAAAUUAAUAAUAAUAUUUUGAAAAUUUGCACAUGUAAAAAAAUAUAGAAAUGUGUGAAUAUGUUUUCAUUUAGGUGGUAAUUUUGCUCGCCUAAUCAUAAUUCUUUUUGAUGUUGUAUGAAAAUAAAAAUAAUUGAAUAUUAUUUAGAGAUAUAUACUAAUUAAUUUAUUUAAAAAAGUUUACAAUCUAUAUACACUAUAUACAAAUUAUGAUCUAUAAUUUAAUGAGAUUCUGUAUAAUUGCACUUUAAAUUUAUAGUACAAUCCAGAAGUUUUUCAAAAAUUAACUUGGAAAUCUACUCUCAUAAAUAUACAAAAAGAUAUGUACGGUAUUUUAAAUUAAAAAUAUAAUAUUAUAAUUCAUUAUUAAUUUGGUUUGUAUUAAUGGGAAUCUUCCUUGCAUUCUUCUUUUAGUUGUGCCAAGGAUAUCCUUGAAAAGGAAAUGCUUCCUCAUGUUCCUAUGACUGAAUUCUCUAGAACUAAGAAAGCUUAUUAUUUUGGGUAACUAUAAUCUUCUAUAUAUUAUCAUUGUCAUUACUUUAGAGUAGUUACAGAUCUUAUUGAUCCUUUCUUCAGCUAUAUUAUACAUCAGCUUCUUCUUUGUGCAUUUGGCCGGUGGGUUAAAGAUGAUAGAUAUCAUUAUGGCAACAAGAGGUUGGACCUUGCUGGUUCAUUACUUAGAAGGCUUGUUUAGGAUGGUUUGUUUCAUUUUUGUGUUGAGGUAGUUGACUUUACUUGUGAUCAUACGAAUGAAGAUGUAUCUCUUUUCUUUUAACACCCCACUUUUAUAACUAAAAUAAGAUGAUUUAUUUUAAAAUAUUUAAAAUCUCAAUAUUUUUUUAAUAUAAAUACGGAUAAUUAAAACUUUUACAUGAUAAGCAGAAACUUCAUUACAAAAUAUAAGAGACAUAGAAAUUCCUUAGUAUAUAUUUCAAAACUUCGUUAUUAUGUAAGAGAAUUUAAGAUAUUUAUUUUUUAUAACAACACGACUAAGCCCAUCACAGUCCAACGGUUUGACAUGCCCAUAUGCAUUUCAUCUUGGUUGGGACUUGGCGUCAGCUUGAUCUACUCAUUAUUACCUACAAUGUAAGGAUUGCAUGAGCCAAAACCUAGUAAGAUAACAUGCAAGUAUAAAUUGUUAUGCACAUGGAUGAGCUUAUGAACAAUAAAUCUCUAAAAGAAACAUAGAAAUAUAAAACAACUUUGUUAGGGCCCUACGUACAUUGCACGACAAGGUUGGCAAUUUUCAUUCUUUAAAAUAGCAUCCCCUUAGGCCUAAAUUAAUAAUUGAUCUUUGGGCAUUGCAUAUCGCCGUCCCCAAAAGAUUACUCUUUAUUUAGCUUUGAGGGCUUGCCCUUCUUGGAAAUUUUACCACCCCAGUAGUACAACAAUCCAUUGUUCAAGACUCAUUUUUAAAAAUGUCUUCUUUGUAAAGUAAUCUUAACAUAUUAACAUGAAAUGCAUGUGUUCAAUGCAACCUAUAUCAUGACAUGUAAUGUUCCUAGAUAUAUAACAAAGCCAACCAUACAAAGUUUUCUGAAGACAACAAUCUUUAGUAUAGGCAGCAGUGCCGUCCAUAUAAAGAUUAAAUAAAAAAUGUUAUUAUAAUAUAGAUGGGAGAGUGGACUAGGGAUGGCAAAAUAACCUAGACCCAGCCCGGACCCGGAUGAACUCGGAUUAUCCGGUGCGGGUUGAACCCAGUCCGGAGAUAAAAAUAAUGCGGAUCCGGAAUUCAUUUUAUAAACCCGGACAUAUCCGGGUCCGGAUCCGGGUUUACGUAAACCCGGAUCUCCGAAACUCGGACCCGGAUAUCUUUAUUUUAAAAUUUAUUAAAUAAUUAAUUUUAAGUUAUUAAAUCUAAGUAUAAAAACAAAAAAAAAAAAAAAAAAAAGAAACCAUAAAACAAACUGUAGCCGUAGCUGAUAACUCUAUGAAAUGAGAGUUAUCAUGGCCCUUUUAGGCUUAAAUCAAUACUACUUAGAGAGUAAAUUAUGUGUUUCUAUUACAUUUUUGUUACAUUUUGCAUAAAAAAUCAUUUUAGUCAGUCUUAAUAAGUUUUGGUCGAUUUAAAGUAAUUUAUGCUCAAAUUGUGUGCAUAAUUGUAGGUUUCUAGAAGCUUAUAAUUCAUGGAAGGAAUGCUAUGCAAUAGGCUUGCAAAAAAAAAGGAAAGAACAUGGCUACAAAAGAGUUGAAAUAAAUCUGGAACAGUGCAGUUGCUGUAGAUAUUGCUGUAGCAACCAUUGCUGUAGCCGUUGCUGUAGCAAUCCUGGAACAACGAUAGAGAAAAUUCUGUGUGGGAUACUUGCAGAAUUACGAUCUGCAGUUUCUUAAUCUGACUUAUGCGUGCCUUAGGGUUCCGUUUACCCCAAUUUUCAACUAUAAAAGAAGCACACAUCAUAAGGAAAAAGGAGAGCCGUCACCCAAGGAGAAAAACACAAAGAAACAAAAGAAAAACAAGAUUCAAGAGAGAGAUUAAGGGCUGCACAAGAGGAGAAUUUACAGAAAUCAAUUGGGAGCUCAAUCCUUCUUAUUCUUAUCUUGUUUUCUCGUUUUCUAUUUAUUUAUGGGGAUGUGUUUCAUGGCUGAAACUUUGUUCUUUAUUUUUCUUUUACAAACCAUGAACUAAAUUUAUUUGUGGUUGAGUGAUAUAUGUGUUGCUGCAUGUUUGUUGUAGCAGUUUGUUUUGAUAGUAUUUUCUUUUAUUCAUUAUUUCGGUUGAUCACCCAUUUAAUGAUACAAGUUAGGAGAGAGCCGCAAAAUGGCCUAUCUUAGUGGAACAUAUCAGAAUGAUCUUAAAUUGAGUUUCCCGGAUUGAGUCUUACUUGAGUUCCAAAAGGGUCAUGCUUGAUUUAAGAUUAGUGAUGAACUAGACAUAAGGAUUCACCUUGUAGGGACAAUAGAACCUAAGCGUGUAAUGUUAUAUCUUAUGUUGGCAUAGCAACUGAUCACUGUUAGGUUGCAUAUAGAUAUAAGAUAUCCAACAUGCGACGGCUGAGGAUACAUAAGGAUUAUACCCAGUGCUGUAGCAAUUACUACAGCAACCGAGCCAACUAUUAGAAAAUAGUCAAGACUAUUAGGAGAGUUUAUUCACUCAACUACUCAAUAUUCCUAUUAGUUUUAUCCUUGAGAUUGACGUGAUAAUUUAUUUUGUUGCAUUUUAUUUACUGUGUUUUUAUUUUAAUUAGUAAAUUAGUUUCAUCAAUUGUUUAUCUUAAUUUAGACACAAAAUCUGCACUGUUAAGAUUGCUGUAGCAAGUCUAAUAACAUCAAUCCAUGUGAAGACGAUCUUAAAUACUCAUCACUUUAUUACUUGUUGUGUACACUUGCACAUUGACACCAAUAGCAUUGAUAUUUAUACACCAACAAUAGUAGCCCUGUUUCUCCUCUUCUCUCACCUUCUUCAAUCUUCACGCCACAAAGCCCAAAUUCAUCAUCGUCAAUUUGUCAUCAUCCUUGUCAAUAUUCAAGUAAUUCCCAAGCAUCAUCAUCAACAGCUCAUCAUCAUCCUCAAUAUUCAAUUCAUCCCGUCGUCGUUCUUCUUCAUCAAUUUGUCGCAUUGCCAUCCAUGAUUCACCAUCGUCUUCAUCGCGUCACCAUUCAUCUUGAUUACAUCAUCAACAUACAUGCUUCUUGGGAAUUAAUAGUGCUCUGAGGUGAUAUUAACAUAUGUGGGUCAGCUUUUAUCUCUAAAUCAUGAUUCAUUUCAAUUCAUUUAUAUUCAAGUUGUCUCGAUUGUAAAGAAUCUAUAAUCCUUUAAUCCAUUGGUGCUUGCGAUUUGAACUCUUUCUGGAAUUUUUCAUAACCUGAAACAAGUUUAUGUUUUUCAGUUCAUUCAGUUAUCCGGGUUUUAAACCCGACAUCCGGAAACCCGGAUUUCUCCGAGUUGAACCCGCACCGGACCCGGAGCCAAAAAAUCUGGGUUUAUAUCCGGAUCCGAAAUGCAAAAUUGUCAUCCGGGUCCGAAAUCGGGAAGGCUAAACCCAGACCUGGACUCGGAUUUUGCCAUCCCUAGAGUGGACCAUAUCAUAAUUAAAUAAAAAUAUCAUAGUAUAGGCGGCAUAGCCAACCAUAUAAAAAUUAAAUGAGAAAAUAUGAAAAUAUAGGCGGCAUAGCUGACCAUAUAAGGAUUAAAUAAGAAAAUAUCAAAUAUAGGUGGCAUAGCCAACCAUAUAAAGAUUAAACAAUAAAUAAUCACAUCAUAGUAGUCAUCAUAAGAUAAAAAAAUAAUUAAAGAUGAAUUUAAGUAUGGAAAGAACAUUAUUCGUAAACUACAGUUGAAGUGUUACUUAUCUCUUAAUCUUGACUUCUCUAGGCCCUCAUAAUUUGAGGAUUUCUCUAUUAUUUGAUGUUAUUACUUAGAAUAGAAGAGGACAGAAUUUCUAAAGUGAUAUAGAAAAUGAAAGGGCUAGGGGUACUUAUAGGAUUUUCUAAAGCUAAUGGAUGGUUAGGAUUUUACCACUAUAACUUUUGAUUAAUGGUUGAGAUUUAUCCUUGCAUAAAUAUCUCUGUAAAUUCUAGAAUUUAUUAAUAUUUUAUAGAUAUCUUGUUGCAUAAUUACUUAUGUCAUCGCUUAUGUCAUCAUUACUCUAGAAUUUUCUAUCAUAAAUAUUUUCUAUUAUUAUUAUUUUAAUAGGUAAGGGGACUUAUUAGCCUAAAAAUUAAUUCUACUAUAUUCAAAUGAGAAAUUUAUAUCUCACAAUUUCCUUCCCAUUACGAAAAUUUUAUGCUCGAAAUUGAUUUAUUGAAUAGCUCAGGAUACUUAUUCUUCAUAUUUUCUUCACGUUCCCAUGUUGCCUCCCCUAUCGAGCUAUUUCGUCAUAGUAUUUUAACUAGAAAAAUCUUCUUGCUUUUUAUCUCCUUUAUCUUUCUAUCAAAUACUUGGAUUGGACGUUCUCCAUAGGUUAAGUUUUCUCCUAGUUGAAAAGCCUUAUAAUCUAGCACAUGAGAGGGGGUCUGUAACAUAUUUCUUUAACAUGAAGAUAUGAAAAGAAAUUGUGUAUCCUUGACAAUGGUAGAAGAGCAAGUCGGUACGAAAUGUUCUUGACAUAUUCAAGUAUUUCAAAUGGUCCAAUAAACCUCGAAAUUAAAUUUCCUUUUACAAAUACCUUAUCACCAACUUGAAAUUCUGAAGGCCUUAAGCUCUUAUCUACAUGACUUUUCUGUUAACUUUGAGCUGCCUAUAUUCUUGGACGUAUUUUCUCGAUCGCCUUAGAUGAGACAACAAUGAGGCUGGGCCCAAGCUACCUUUGCUCGCCCAUUUCAUUCCAAUGAAUAGGUGACCUACAUUUUUUACCAUAUAGAGUUUCGUAGAGUGCCAUGCCGAUUAUUGCUUGAUAGCUAUUAUUGUAGGCAAAUGAAGCCAAAGGUAGAUAUUUGCUCUAUGAUAUUUGAAAGUCGAUAGUGCAUCCCCGUAAUAUAUCUUUUAGUGUCUAGAUCGUUGUUUCUAACAGACCAUUUGUUUGAGGGUAAAAUGUUGUACUAAAUUUUAAUUUUGUUCUCAUAGCUCUAUGUAACUUUUCCUAAAAUGUUGAGGUGAACCUUGUAUCUCGAUCAAAGAUAAUAGAAAUAGGUACACCAUAUAGUCUUACUAUCUCCUUUAUGUAUAUUUCUGCAAAUUGGUUUAUAGUGCACGUCAUUCAAAUAGGUAAAAAGUGAGCAGACUUUAUGAGUCAAUUGACGAUCAGCCAAAUGGCAUCAUGCAUUUCUUUUUCAAUUUUUUCAUUACUAUUGGUAUUUAUGCAAUUUUUUAGAAAGUUAAACUGCAAUGUGAGAGCUUAUGUGAAGAAGGUUCUAAGUAUUUGUUGCUUUCUUUCUUUUUUCCUUUUUGUUUGAUUUUGAAUCAUUUUUUUCAUUUCUUCUGGUUUGCACUCAUGCAGUUCAUCCAUUUUGUAAAUGUUGGAUAAGGAUCUAUAUGUUAAUUUGCAAUAUGCUAUUUUAGCUAAAACAAUUACCCAUGGUAUAAAGUAUUCUUUGGCUACCGGUAAUUAGGGCCAGUUAGAUGCGUUUAUUACAAGAACAAAAGUGUCAAAGAUUUUUUAUUUUUGAUCCAUUUGAAUACAUGAUAGUUUUUUUUGCUCACUCAAUUUCUACUUUGUAGCAUUCCUUGUAGUAUACCUUUUGAUUACAUUGAUCUUGUGGUCUUUCACAAAUGUUGAAUUACAGACAUGCGCCUCUACCUUGUCGCAUUUGCGAACACUGUGUUCUCCCAUAGGGCAAAAAGGUAAACUACUUAUUGUUGUGCAUGAUUUUGUUUUAUUGAGGGUUCAUUCAUGCUUAGUUUUGUUUUUCUUUUAUGCAUCACCAUGUUGUUAUUUUGUUAAUUUGUUGCAUAUAAUUAAUUGUUUUCACUUUAUUUUUCUAAAGAAGUUUUCAUUUACUAGGUACACAAGUAAAACCUAAGCUAGCACAUAAUACACAAUGGGGUAAGAUUUAUUCCUUUCCAACACUUUUAGGACAAGUAAGUUAAAAUUGUGCUUAUAGGAUAUAUCUAUAAUAUCUUUUUCUGAUUGUAGCUUACAAGAAUUUGUUUUGGUUAAUCCAGGCCUGUGGACUAGUGAAGAAUCUUGCUUUGAUAGUCAAUGUAACCCUCGGCUCAUUAGUAUUUCCCAUUAAUGAGUUAUUAGAAUAUGAGCCAAUAGUAGAAGCCAAGGUGCAUUUUGUAAUUUAUGGCACUUAGACGUUAAUUAUACAUAUUUCAUUCACAUUAUUUCAAUUUUCUCUUAAUUGUAGGAUGCUACUGCAAACUUUUUUCUACAAGCUACAAAAAUUUUUGUCAAUGGUUGCUGGGUGUCAUGCAUGAUGUUGGUUCAUUGGUCCAAGCUUUGAGACACUUGAAAAGAAAUGUCAUUAUACUUGUAUUUCAUCUAUUCGUAAAGAAACCUCUGUAUUAAAAGUUGGCAAACCUAUUGGUGUACUCUAAACUUUCUUUAGUAUUAUUUAUGCCAUUUCUGAACUAUUUUGUUUGUCUACCCAUGUACAAGACUUUAUAAAUGCUGCAAUUGGGGUUUCUAGGGAUAUCCAUUCAAAAGAAUUGUGUAUAUACACUGAUUUUGGUCGUUGUUGUCGUCCAUUGCUUAUUGUCCAGAAUCAAAGGCUUCUUAAAAAGAAGAAAGAUAUUGACGCCUUCUAUGACAAGGUUAGCCAAAUAGUUCUCUCUCUCUUUUUUAUUAAUGAUUUGUCUUUUCUGUAGUUACAUGACUUUUAUCUUGUUAAUCUUCUAGAAAUCUUCCGAAGAUGGUUGUUGGUGUGAUCUUUCUAAAAAAAGGGUUUAUAGAAUAUAUUGAUCCAUAAGAAGAAGAAACCAUAAUGAUUUGCAUGACAAUCAAUGUGAAUAAAAUGGUAUUGGUUGGUCGAAAACCUGUUAUCGUGAGACGUAAUUUUUAACUUGCUAAAAAUUUGAUUAACACAAAUUUGUUUCAGGAACUUGUAAAUGCAAAGCUUCGUCCAGAGGAGGCUACUUCUAAUGCAUACACGCAUUAUAAGAUUCAUCCAUCCUUGAUAUUGGGAGCUUAUGCUUCAAUUAUACCAUUUCCCGACCAUAAUCAGGUGCGUCAUGCUUAUGACAUUUCUAUGGUAAAAUAUGUUUAUAUAUUGACUCAAUCUCACCAAUUUUUUUUUUCUUUUUCUUGAUGGGGUUUGCUUUUAGUCCCCAUGUAAUACGUUUCAAGCUGUAAUGAGCAAGUAAGCAAUUGGAAUCUAUGCUACAAACUACCGAUGACAUAUGAUACUGUAUUUGGUUUCAAUUUUUUUGUGAUUGGAAGCUCAUAUUCAGCAUGUCAUAUAUAAUGAUAUUAUUUUUCCUUUAUAUGAAUUAGGAUGCUUUAGCCUAUGUUCUUUACUACCCUUAGAAACCACUACUUGCUGGGAAGCCAUAAAAUCGCUUCAAGUUAACCAACUUCCUACUGGUGUGGUGAGUAUAUAAUUUAAUGCUGCGUUAUUGUUGCUCCUUAUGAUCAUAGUUUUCUUAUAAUCUUUUUGUCUCUGUUAUUUGGUAUUAGAAUGCAAUAGUCACUAUUGCCUGUUAUGAUGGCUAUCAUCAAGGAAGUUUUGUUGUUAUGAACCAGUCAUCUAUGGAUUAAGGAUUAUUUCGAUCUCUUUUCCUUCCAUACAUCUAGGUAAGCUGUUGUUGAGUCAUUUUGUAUCUUAAUUAACACGACUCAAAAGUAUUGAUUACUUCCGAGUAUAAGAGUGUCUAAUUAUAAUAUAAUCCAGUGAGUUGGGGUUGAUCCACAAGGAAUCUAUAAAUCUAGUAGUCAUUAUUAAAAGGGAUAUUAUCAUUUUACUAUUAAAGUUAUUCUGACAUAUCAUGUCAAUACCAUGAUUUGCCGAAAAGUGCAUUUUACUACCAAACGUUUGUGCCGUUAUCAAUUCACUACUAUUCCCUUAAGAAUUUUAUGCAGUGUCCGUUGGGCCAGAGGUUUCAGCUGCGAUCCAAGAGAUUCUAAACUCUAAUUUGAUGUCGUCUGACUUCUUUUGCUCAUGGAUUUUAGAUAAAACUUCUGCGCUAAGUCUUGUUCAAAGUAUAAGUAUAGAAUUGAACUUGAUUCUGACUGAUUCCAUUGUUAAAAUGCAUGAGUUGUGUGGCUACUGGCUACUCUCCACUGAUGGUUUGCUGUCAUUGUACUUGUGCGUCAAAGAAGGCUUUCUUAAUAUUGUUGAGGAAAAUGUUGUCAGGUAAGGCUAAUCUGUUCACAUCUUGAAAUAAUUAUUUGAUGGUGAAUAUUUGUUAAAGUUAUCUAUUUUCUUUAUUUCUUAUGAUGAAGUAGAUUUGAUGUUGAGAAGAAAAAUAUUAGUGUUCAAUUGUGUGUUGAGUGAGUGGUUUAAAUGAGUAUUAAGAGUAAUUAAAAUUAUAUAGUAAUGUUAAAUUGUUCAUGAUAUUAGUUUAACGAAAGACUUCUUAAUUUUUUUAAUAAAAUUAAUAUAGUGUUCAAAGUGUAUUUUAUCAAUAAUGUUGACAUUCCUACAUUUGAGUCUUAAUUUUAUGUGUCAUUUGUUCAUUAGAUAAUAUAUUUUAUAAUUUAUAAAAUUAUUAUUUUAUUAUACAAUAAAUAAAUGACUCAUCAAUUAGGACUAAAUUGAAACAUAAAUGUUGAAUAUUACGUUUUGUUAAUGUUAAAGUGUAAUGGUCAUGUUAUGUAGCAAAAAUUCAUGUAUUUAUUUUUUAUUUAUUUUAUAAAAAUUCAGUUUUUCAUAUACAUAGAAGUUAGUAAAUUGAAAUUGUUUCUAUUAAACUGUUGAAGUGCAGGUGUGCAUUUGCUAUAUAUAUUAUUUUUCAGAAUCUUUUACUUUAAAAAAAAAAAAAAAAAAAAAAAGACUCGUACUUGAUAGGUAAUUAACUAGGAAAAAUAAAUAAAGAAGAAAGGUGGCAACUUAAGUUUAAUUUCAUUAAAAAUUAUGGGUAAAAUAUAUAAUUAAAUAUUUUGUUGAUAAUGAGACAAAAAGUUAUUUUAUGUGAUUUGAAGAAACAAAAGAGUAAUGGACACAUGUCUAAUGUACAAAGAGUAGGCGAGUAAGUCGCACUGACCGUAACACUAUUUAUAUAUACUGUUGUGGACCCGCCUGAGUUACAGUUCACGUAACACUACUCGACUUUUCUGGCUUCUUAAUGUAAACUAUCGUUGACCUCCUUAUACUUUAUAUUAUUAACAGUUUAUUCAUAAGUAUAUAAACUUUUCUGUAUUGUAAACUUUUGUUGAGCCCCUUACACUUUAUUUUAUUUUAUUGAAACCCUUAGAGUAUCAAAUUCGCCCCUAUAAUUUUUAAAUUCCCAAAAUACCCUCUAUUUAAUUUAAAAAUAUAAUUAUUAUUAAAUGUGUUAUUAUUAUAAUUAUAAUAAUUAUUUUAUUAUAAUUAUCAAUAUAAUUAUAAUUUUAAAUAGAUUAUUAUUAUUAUUAUCAUUAUUAACAAAAAUAAAAGUAUUAUAAUUAAAUAAUCUAUUAACGAUAAUUAAUAAUAAUUUUUUAGUUAAAUUAAUAAUAAUAAUAAUUAAAAUUUAUUAUUAUUAUUAAUUAAUUUUGAAUAAUAAUAAUAAUCAAAAUAAUUAAAAUAUAAAAUAAUAAUUAUGAUAAAAAUUAAUUAAGAAUUUUAUAGUAAUUUGCUACAAUUUAACUCAUUCCUAUUUUGAUUCUAAAACAAAGUAAAUACAUAAAUGGUAAUACAACUCAUUCUAAUUAUGAUUCCUCCAGUUCAAGUAAAUAAAUUAUUUUGAUUCCAAUUCCUCAUUUUGAUUCUAUCUAUUCCAAUUUUAACUCAUUAUGUUUUCAGCUAAUUUUGAUUCCUAUUUAGUGAAUGCACUAUAAAAUUGUAAACCACUCUAUAUUCAACUAGACCACUCUAUAUUAUUUACAAUUUAUUCAUAAGUAUUAUGAAACUUUCUUCUUACCUAUACUAUAAAAAUUCAAUUUAUCUCCCUACACUCUUUUUCAUUUACUAUUUUUUUAUAAGUGUCAAAAGAGUGUUUACAACCAUGACACAUUAGUUAUCAUAGCACACUAAUAUUAAUAAAAAGUUUUUUAAGAAUAUUACCAUUCAUCUUUUAUAUAAUAUAUUCUCAUAAUAAUUAAUACUUUCAUGAUAAAAGGAUUAACAAAAUAAAAAGUAAAUUCCCUUUGAAUCCAUCCCUCUCCACCAUUAACUUCUCUUUAUCAGCAACCUUCAUCGAUAAUUGAAGUCACCAUUAGGCUCAUCAAAGAGAAAGAGAGUACGAGAGGGGAAGAAGAAAUGGGAAAAAAAUAUGAGAUUUUCACAAUUUUAUAGUGCAUUCAUUAAGCAAGAAUCAAAAUUAGCUGGAAAAAUAAUGAGUUAUGAUCGAAAUGAGGAAUUGGAAUCAGAAUAAUUUAUUUACUUAAACUGCAGGAAUCAUAAUUAGAAUGAGUUGUAUUACCAUUUAUGCGUUUAUUUUGUCUUAGAAUUAAAAUCAGAAUGAAUUAAACAAAUUAUUAUAAAAUUCUUAAUUAAUUUUUAUCAUAAUUAAUAUUUUUUAUUUUAAUUAUUGUGAUUAUUAUUAUUUAAAAAUUAAUUAAUUAAUAAUAAUUAUUUUUAAUUAUUAUUAUUAUUAACAAUUUAACUAAAAAAUUAUUAUUAAUAUUGUUAAUAGAUUAAUUACUUAUAAUACUUUUAUUCUUGUUAAUAAUAAUAAUAAUAAUAAUCAUCAUCAUCCAUUUAAAAAAUAUAAUUAUAAUUAUAAUCUAUUUAAUAAUAAUUAUAUUUUUUUAAUUAAAUGGAUGGUAUUUUGGAAAUUUAAAAAUUAUAGGGGCGUAUUUGAUACUCUAAAGGUUCUAGUUAAAUUAAACAAAAAUUACAUACGUAUGUACAUACAUACAUAAAUUAUAGGGGCGUAUUUAAUAUCUAUAAAUUAAACAAAAAUUACAUUAAAUAUUUACACAUUGUCAUACAUACGUAUGUACAUACAUACAUACAUACAUACAUACAUAAUUUAUCGAUAUUAUAAAAUAUACAUAUCUACUAAAAUAUUACAUACACUAUUGAGGUUUUAAUUAUAUAUAUGUAAAUAAUAUUAUAUAUCAAUAUUAUAAAAUAUACAUGUCUACCAAUAUUUUAUACAUUUACAUUAUUAAAGCUCUAAAUAUAUUUAAAAUUUUAUAAAUAAAAUAUUGUGUCUAUAUUCAUCCUUUUAAAGAAUAAAAAUAAAAAAAAAUUAUUUUUAAUAUUUGAGUUUUGAUGAUAAGAAUCUGUAAAUUAUUUUAAAAUAUAAAAUAUAAUCAGGUCAUUGAUCGGAUAAAUGGGUUAAGAAUUUUAAUCAUAACCCGAUACGGAAAAAAAUUGUGUUGACCCAAACUCGAUCCAUUUAAUAAUCGUAUUAAAUUUAAUGACCCAUACUUAUUUAUUGGUGUCAUACUCGUGUCGAGUAAUCGGAUCGUAUCAAAUUUUAUCAGCUCUAGGUACAGCAACUCUUAUUUUCAUAAACAGACUUUUUGUCUUCUGCCCUUUUUUUUUUUUUGCCCUUUUUUAACUUUUUUUUUUGGUCCUUUUUUAACUAACAAUUAGUAAUACUACCAAUUACAUGUGACAACUGUAAGGAGUUCAUUGUCAACAAAAUAAUUAAGUCCAGAGAUUUGUUGUACCAUACUUGACAAAAUUCAACACAGUCUAAUAAAUGCUGAAAAGUGGAAACGGAACAAUUGCAGAGCGCCGGUGGAGCUCACCCGGCUAGAAGAUUAACAAAUUUCCUCCAUUAUUGUAGCCUAAAGACUUUUGAAGGCUAGAGACUUGUUCCGAAAUUUCAGCAUCCAUUUAGAUCGAGUAAAAACCAUCUUUCUCGGACGAUUACGAAGCAAUGGCUGUUGAAGAGCUCUUACUGUCUGCUUUCUUUCAAGUGUUGUUUGACAGAUUGGCUUCUGGUGAUUUUCUCACCUUUGUGGGUCAACUUCGAGGCGGGCUGGAUUCCGAGCUCAAAAAGUGGGAAAAAACUUUGAUAAUGAUACAGGCUGUGCUCAGUGAUGCAGAGGAGAAGCAACUGACGGACAGGGCUGUGAAGAUCUGGCUCGAUGAUCUCCGAGACUUGGCUUAUGACGCAGAGGACAUUCUUGAUGAGUUUGCUACUGAAGCUUUGAAUCAGAAGACGAUGGCAGAAAAUUCGAACCACAGUCCUGCUUGUUUCAACUGUUUUAGUCCAAGUUCUGUCAAGUUUAAAAUCGACAUGGAUUCCAAGAUUAAAAGUAUCACUAGCAGGUUGGAUGAACUAUGUGCUAAAAGAAUUGUACUUGGAUUGCAAUUGAUUCCUGGAGGGAUAUCAAAUGCCUGGAAGCGAAGACCGCCGAGUUCAAGUGUGCCAACGGAACGGGCUGUCUACGGCAGAGAUGAGGAUAAGGCCAGAAUACUUGAAAUGGUGUUAAGUGAUGAUCCAACCGCUGACGCCAACUUUUGUGUAAUACCAAUUGUCGGCAUGGCAGGGUCUGGAAAAACAACGCUUGCUCGGGAGGUCUACAACGACAGGGCUGUGCAAAAUUUCAAGUUUGAUGUGAAAGCAUGGGUUUGUGUUUCUGAUGAUUUUGAUGUUCUUAGCAUUUCGAGGGCUCUUCUCGAGUCAAUCACCUCCACAACUUGUGAUGUCAAGACGUUGAAUGAGGUGCAGGUUAAAUUGAAAAUUGCUGUGGAUGGAAAAAGGUUCUUGCUUGUAUUGGAUGACGUUUGGAAUGAGAACUACAACUUGUGGGAAAUCCUCAAAGCUCCCUUCAUGGCUGGUGCACCAAAUAGCAAAAUCAUUGUCACUACACGCCAUUCAAAUGUUGCGUCAACGAUGGGAUCCAUUGAACAUUAUAAUCUUAAGCUUCUGUCAGAUGAAGAUUGCUGGUCUGUUUUUGCGAAGCAUGCGUUUGAGAGUAGAGAUGCCGGUGCUCAUCAAUUUUCAGAAUUAUUUCGUAAGAAAAUUGUUGCAAAGUGCGGAGGCUUACCUUUAGCAGCAAGCACUCUUGGCGGCCUUUUACGCGCUAGACAUACAGAAGAUGCGUGGGAGGAUAUAUUGAGCAGCAAAAUGUGGGAUUUGCCUCAAGAAACUGACAUUCUCCCCGUGUUAAGGUUGAGCUACCAUUAUCUUCCUUCUUGUUUGAAGAGAUGCUUCACUUAUUGUGCGAUUUUUCCCAAAGAUUAUGAGUUCGAGAAGAAUGAACUUGUUUUUCUGUGGGUGGCUGAGGGUAUGAUUCAACAAUCAAUGACAGAUAAACGAUUGGAAGAUUUGGGCAAUGAGUUUUUUUGUGACCUCUUGUCUAGAUCACUUUUCCAACAAUCAAGCAGAGAUGGUUGUAAAUUUGUGAUGCACGACCUACUUCAUGAUUUAGCUCAAUUUGUUUCUGGAGAAACAGGUUUCUGGUUGGAAGAGGCAAAUAAGAAGUUAAGAACAUUCGAAAGGAUUCGUCAUUUUUCUUAUCCUCGUGCUUAUCAAGAUGGAAAAAACAAAUUUGAGGGUUUGAAUAAAGCCACAAGUCUGCGGACGUUUUUGCCUCUGAAAGUAAGAGUUUUUUCAUCUUGUUAUUAUAUAACCAACACGGUUCUUCUUGACUUGCUGCCAAAGCUCAAAAAGUUGAGGGUGCUAUCUUUAGAAGGAUACUGCAUUGCUCAUUUACCUAAUUCUAUCAAAGAUUUGAAGCUUCUAAGGUACCUCAAUCUUUCUGGUACAAUGAUCAAAAGUUUACCUGAGUCAAUAAGUUCACUGUUCAGCUUGCGGUUUUUGAUGUUAAGAGACUGUGAUCGUCUACAGAAGUUGCCUUCCAACAUGAGAAAUUUGAUUAAUUUGCAUCAUCUAGAUUUAAAGGGCGCACAUUUAUUAACAGAGAUGCCAUCGGGAAUGAAGACAUUGAAAUUUCUACAGACGUUGUCUGAUUUUAUUGUGGGUAGGGGUAUCGUAUCUGGCUUGAAGGAUUUGAAAAAUUUAACUUUCCUCCGUGGAGAACUUUGUAUUUCGAGAUUAGAAAAUGCGAAUAAUUCAUGGGAAGCAAGAGAAGCUUCAUUGUGCGAUAAGAAGUGUCUAGAGGCAUUGUCAUUAAAAUGGGGCUCUCCUCAUCAGUCGCGAAAUGUUAAUGAUCAGGCAGCAGAAGAAAAUGUACUUGAUAUGUUGCAGCCACACAAAAAUAUAAAGAAGCUAGAAAUCAUGCAGUAUGGUGGCAGGAGAUUUCCUGUAUGGUUAGGGGACCCAUCAUUCUCUAACAUGGUUGCUUUAAAAUUGAUAGGAUGUAAAAAUUGCACAUCCUUACCUGCUGUGGGGCAGUUGGUUUCCCUGAAAGAGCUUACAAUUGAAAGAAUGCUUGUACUCAGAAGUAUAGGGUUUGAAUUCUGUGGAAAGAAUUGCUUAAAGCCUUUUCAAUCCUUAGAGACUCUUUGCUUCAGUGGUUUGCCAGAAUGGGAGAUCUGGGAUACCGGCAACCAGACUGGGUAUACUGAAAUAUUCCCUCGCCUCGUUGAACUGUCCAUUUCUGGAUGCCCCAAACUAUCUGGAAAAUUACCCGACCAUCUUCCUGCAUUAGAGGCCCUUGUUGUCAGCUAUUGCGAAGAGCUGGUAGUUUC
Molecule: long non-coding RNA, 24511 nt
Filed under: Citrus maxima (pomelo)
Lineage: Eukaryota; Viridiplantae; Streptophyta; Magnoliopsida; Sapindales; Rutaceae
Description: long non-coding RNA (CMAX_LNC000692)
Source: RNAcentral